CUAAAAUUGUCCCUGGUGUGACUGGAACAUAUCUAACUGCAACCAGGCCUGCCAUGAGAACAGUCUUGGUUUCCACUAACGCAAUGACGCGUAACCGGACAUCUCAGCGUCAGGAACUACAUAAGAGCUGUUACCAAAAUUCUCAUUUACAUUUGCUCGCGUUUAGACCUCUGGAAAAGUUAAUAGGUCUAUUUGACAAUUUACUAAUGGGAUUUUUUUUGUUGUCCUCGUUUGACAAAAUAAUUAAUAGGCCUAUCAAGAAGAAGUAGGCUACCUCAGGUUGCAGUUACUUUGUUGUAGUCUACUCUGAAGAGAAGUGUAUUAUCUUAUCGAAAAAAGCCACUGAAACACCAAAAGAUGGACUCACCAGCAAGCCCCCUCACUCGUGCUGGGAGGACUUUCUGGACAGUUUGGAACUACUUUACGGAAGUUGUGGGGAGGUAUCUAAGCCCAGAGUCCAUUAACAAUGACACAAGCUCAAGACAGGAAGCCACUGCUGCACAACAAACAGACGACCAUGGAGAUGGUGCGAAAAAUGAGAUAAAGGAAACUGAGGUCACUUUUGAAACAGGCUCUGAGGUUAAGAAACCAAGAUCUGUUGUUGCCUGGGAACAGUGCAAUGUCAUCAUUGGUCCAGGCCUCGGCAGAGACAAUGUGCAAUACACUGGACAAUCCAACAGAGGGAGUGAUAGCAAAUCAUCCCCGGAGGGGCAUGAUAUAAAACAAGAGCAGGUGGACCGAACAGAAAAUAAAGGCACAAUCCAGCAUGUUACUAAAGAAGAAUUAAAUAUGGGGAAAGGGGUCCAAUCAGUGGUAGUCACUGGGAUCCCGAUCUUAUUUAGAGAGCCGACAUCUGAAAGGUCAGAGGGCCAGGGAGCACAAGGACAGACUGACAGUUACAACUGUGCUGAAGCAAAAAGAUUAAGAGGUGCAGUGGCAGAAAGAAAAGCGGAGGAAGAAGAAAUCCCUGAAGAAGUUACUGAAGAAUUCCCCUGUGGUGAAGAAGGAACCAAAACAGAAGAACAUGAAAACAAUAGAGAUGGAGAAAUACAUUUUGAUAUAGAGUCCCCAAACCUUACAUCAGCCUGUGCUGAACCUGCCACACUUUUGGAUAAGAAUGGAGACAAGGAAAAUAAGGACAGAUUAAUGAAACACGAUGUGCAAAGUACAGAGGAUGAAACCAUGGUAAAAUUAAAUGAAAACGAUGGAGAGAAAGAAACGGAAGUACUCUUCAUGGAGACAGGCAGAGAAGGGUGGAAAGUAGCAGAAAUAGUAGAAUUCUCAGCGGGAGGGGAGAAUAGCGAUGAUCUGUGUGUAAUCAAAGACAAACUGAGUCGAGAUGGUAAUGAAGUGAAGAAUGACAUGGACAUGGAAGAACUUGGGAGGAAGGAGGAGAGAGAGGAAGAGAAUAGAGCAAUAGAAGAGAUGGGCAGAAGAGAACAGGAAGAGAUAUUGGACAGGGGCUUUGGACCGUACAAUGAUUUCCAAGUCUCAGAAAACAAUAACAAACAUGAAUAUGGUGACAAUCGUUUGAAGUUUGAUGAAGGAACUAUAGAGAGGUUUGAUCAAGAAAAUGACCCCAACCCACAACCACUUUGUGGAGGAUUAUCAGACGAAGACAGAACAUUGGGAAAAGGCCAGGACAUCUUUGUUUCAGAGGCAGAGUUGGAAUUGCCAAUGGCCUAUGACAAAAGAGUCUUUGUGUCAAAUGAUGAGAUAACUAUUGUUAGAGACGAGCAGAGAAUGGAGGGCAACACUGAAAGAAUUGACAGCACAGUGUUAGAGGAAAGAAAAGAAGAGGUAUCAGAGGAUGGAUCCAAAGUGUUUGAGGUCGGGGGCAGUAACAAGAUAGAAGACAUUGCAAUCGGUAUUGGGACGAAGACGGAUACAGAGGCAGAGGAUGUGAAAGAUAAAGUGACUGGGCUGGACACUUUCUUUUAUCAGGAGAGAAAUGUUGUAGUGGAGAAAAAUAAACUACAGGAAGACAAGAUUUUAAAGGAAGACGAAGACCCCCUUAAUGAAGUGGAGGGAAAACGUAUUUCAGUGGUUGACAAUAGAGUGGAAAUCAGAGGCGUGGCAAAAUACAUUUCCCCUGGGCUAUGUGAGGACCUUGUUGUGGCUCAGGAGCCAAAACGUGUAGCGUGUGAAGAAACUCGAGAGGAAAUUCCUGAAAUCAACAACGGCAAAGAGUUAGACGAGAAUACGGCACCGAAGAUCCUGGAAGUUGGCGGCGCUGAAGUCAACACCACCCGUUUACAAGAAGCACACACCAAAAGUGAUACCAAAGGGUUAGAAGGUGUAGAGAACACUGGAACUAGUUUUAAAUUGGACAAUUCACCAGUGAGUGAACUCAUGGAAGGGAAAGAAGACCCGAAAACUGUUGAAGGAUUAUUUGAAAGUGAGGAUAUUGAGAAAGCCUCUGAUACAGUGGUAGACGAGCACACAGUCACGAAAGCAGCGAAAUCACUGGGGGAAACGGAGAGAACAGAUUCUGUAUCACUGAAUGAAACAGAUACUCAAAUACUAGAGGACCUAGCGAAGACAAAGGCUGAAUCACACAAACCGAUGGAGAUUGAGUUAGGACUGUCAGAGGAAGCCGCAGAGACAUAUGUUUGUUUAUCAGAGGAGACACUGAGAACAGAGGCUGGAUUAUACAAAGAGACAGAGGAGAUAAAGGUCGAGUUUAGAGAGGGAUUCAUGGAGUCAAAGGCAGGGGAGACAGUGGGGACAGAAUUUGAAUCAGUGAAGGAGACACAGGCAGAAAUACCAGAAGUGAGGACCGGGGUUGUGCCAUCAGACGACAAAGAUGAGACAGAGUCUGGAUCAAUGCAGGAAUCAGCAGAUACCAAUUUUGGAUUGCUAAGAGAAACUGUGGCGGAAGGGUUACAAAAGGGGGCCGAGGUAGACACACCAGAGGUGAGGACAGUGACUGUGCUGUCAAUGGAGACAAACACAGAGGAAUCAGUGGAAUCUGAGGCUCGGGUCAUGUUGGAAACAGAAUCUGGAUUAGUGAAAAAACAUGAGGCAGAAAUACCAGAUGUGAGAACUGAAACUGCAUCAUCAGAAAGAACUGUGACGACAGAGGCAGGAUUAUCAAUGAACAUGACAUUGUACCCAUCAUCAAUUCACACAGAGGCUGUGUUUCUCACAGAGACAAAGGCUGUGUCAUCUAAUGAGUCACUGGAAACAGACAAUGGAUUAUCAGACAAAUCAUCUGAGGCUGGGACUAAAUCACAGGGAAUGGUAGAGGCUGGAUUACCAGAUUCGACAGAAAUAGAGGCCAAAUUAUUUGAGGAAAUGGUUUGUGGAGAAGUUGUACUAUCACAGGACACAGAAGAUGAAUUAUCAGAGGAAAAAUAUAAUAUAAAAGCUACAUUAAUGAAAGAAUUAGUGGAGCCAGGGGCUGGGGAAACAUUGGAGCCCGAAAAGGGAAUCAUGAAUGAGACAGAAGCAGCAAUACUUGAUAUGAAGAUUGAGGAAUCGCCAUCAGAGGAAACAGAGUCUGGAAUAGUUGACACAGAGGCCAGAAUUUUUCUGGAAACGACAGCGAUUGAGUCUGAAUUAUUGGAGACUGAGUCUGGAUCACAGAAGGACAAAGAGACAAAAAGACAGAGUAUUGAGACAGAGCCAACGGGGGAGACAGACGUAGAGGAAUUAGUGGAAUCUGAGGCUGGGGAUACGGUGGAGGCAGAAAUUGGAUUAGUGAGGACAGAAGCCGAAUUACCAGAGGAAGUUAGGCCAAAGAUAGAGCAAUUGGAAAAAAUGAAUAGAACAGGUGCUGAUUCAUCAGAGGACACAGAUGUGACAGAGGUCAGAUUUUCAGAGGAGAUAGAGACUGAUUUAGUAGAGACCAAGUAUGGGUUACAGAAGAACAUAGAAGAAGACAUACUACAUGAGAGAACAGAGACUGUGCUGUCGGUGGAAACAGUAGAGAUGGAUACGGACUCAUCAGACAAGUCACUGGAGUCCAGAUCACUUGAAAUAUCAGAGGCUGGAUUAUCUGAAGAAUCAGUGGACAGUGAGGAUGGAUUAAAGGAUAUUUACACAGAAAUACCAGAUGUGGAGAAAGAGUCUGGAUUAGCAGAGGAGACCGUAGAUGCUGGAUUAUCAGAGGAAACAGAUGUGUCAGACACAGAAUUAGUGAAAAAUACAACGGCUCUGAUAAUGCUAGAGGCUGAACUUUCAGAGGCGACAGAGGCUGUGUUAAAAGAGAAGGCAGGAGAUAACACGGCAAACAAAUCACUGGAAAUUGAGGUAGGAUUAUUUUGGGAAAACGAUGAGACCGAGGCUUUGGUAACAGAGGAAGUUGUGAAGACAGGGCCUGUUUUAUCGAAGCAGACAGAUUUUGGAUCACAGGGUCAACUACCGGAGAUCGACGAUGGAAUAAUAGAGAAAUCCCAAAUUGGGCAGUCUGGGGAAACUGUGGAAACAGAUGCAGGAUUACCAGAGGAAAACAGAGGGGAGGGUGCAAAAGCAGGAUUCAGUUCCCCGUCAGGAACCAAAAAUGUAGACCAAAGUCUUCAGCUUCAGUUUGACGCCUCCUCUUUGGACUUCACUGCUCAAAAGUCUCGCAUUGCCCUCAAGAAUCCACAUGCCCGUCCACCCAGGGAUCCCCGUACUCUUCUACAGAUGCCAUCUUUGACCCCCUCCCCUUCAAAACCCACCGUACACAUUCCAGUCAGAGGCCCAACAGGGAUACCAAUGAGGGGCAUGGGCGGCAUCGGAAUCAAACUACCUGAAAUCUGAGCUUGAGCCAGAUGUAAGGGAUGAAUCUCCCAAGAAAGACGAGACGCAAGAGGAGCGCAAAACUAAAUGGACACCGCCUAGGCAUCCAGGAUUUGGAAAUCCCCUGAUGAUGAAUGAGCUGAAGAACAAGCUAAAGAAGACUCCAAAAGAGAGCGGAGAUGAUUGACAGGACCUUUUUUCUCAUUGGUGAACCAUGGUCCAUGAACAAUGGGUUUUAAUUUAUCAUAAGUAUCUCCAUUUUAUUUCAAACUAUCUUUGUCUAUUUCUUUUGAAUAUCUUUGUAUGAACAUUUUCAAAAAAAAUUAAUACAUUUUUGUUUUGGACAGUGUUUACUUGUUCCAGAGGGUUUUUAAAAACUGGUGUGAUAAAAAAAAGUUGACUGCUCAAGGCAUUAAAUUGAUUCAAGAAGACUAUUUGUGACAUUUGUUUAUUUCUUCAUCAGUGGGUUUGUUCCAGCAAAAAUACACCUCUUAUUAUUUCCGUGCUAAUUAUUGCUGUUGCUACUGUAGUUACCUACAGGGAAACCAGCUAUAGCGUCUUGAUAUUUGGGAUAGCCUAUAAUUGCCUAUACUGAUUGGUCUUAUGAAGCUGUUAUAUAAACCUUAAGAUUCAUUAUAUUUUUUUAAAACUGUUUAUUUUUUGGGGGGCUUGCCUGUUCGCUUGUUAUUUUGGCAUUAAUAUGUCACAUAUCAGUUUGCAAACAAUGUCAAAUAAAAUAAAAAAAUGUCAUUGAGUUAAUAAAGCUGCAUACAAACAUGG
Molecule: long non-coding RNA, 5505 nt
Organism: Oncorhynchus tshawytscha (Chinook salmon)
Lineage: Eukaryota; Metazoa; Chordata; Actinopteri; Salmoniformes; Salmonidae
Source: Ensembl